CUCUCGGUAGCCAAGUUGGUUUAAGGCGCAAGACUUUAAUUUACCACUACGAAAUCUUGAGAUCGGGCGUUCGACUCGCCCCCGGGAGA
This 89-nucleotide transfer RNA is filed under the name Saccharomyces cerevisiae (brewer's yeast). Its description in RNAcentral is "tRNA-Tyr". It matches the Rfam family "tRNA". From Rfam's summary of the family: Transfer RNA (tRNA) molecules are approximately 80 nucleotides in length. Their secondary structure includes four short double-helical elements and three loops (D, anti-codon, and T loops). Further hydrogen bonds mediate the characteristic L-shaped molecular structure. tRNAs have two regions of fundamental functional importance: the anti-codon, which is responsible for specific mRNA codon recognition, and the 3' end, to which the tRNAs corresponding amino acid is attached (by aminoacyl-tRNA synthetases). tRNAs cope with the degeneracy of the genetic code in two manners: having more than one tRNA (with a specific anti-codon) for a particular amino acid; and 'wobble' base-pairing, i.e. permitting non-standard base-pairing at the 3rd anti-codon position. Lineage: Eukaryota; Fungi; Ascomycota; Saccharomycetes; Saccharomycetales; Saccharomycetaceae. The record is from RNAcentral.